Molecule: ribosomal RNA, 497 nt
Filed under: uncultured bacterium
Lineage: Bacteria
Description: partial 16S ribosomal RNA
Rfam family: Bacterial small subunit ribosomal RNA
Source: RNAcentral
GAUGAACGCUGGCGGCGUGCCUAAUACAUGCAAGUCGAGCGAACAGACGAGGAGCUUGCUCCUCUGACGUUAGCGGCGGACGGGUGAGUAACACGUGGAUAACCUACCUAUAAGACUGGGAUAACUUCGGGAAACCGGAGCUAAUACCGGAUAAUAUAUUGAACCGCAUGGUUCAAUAGUGAAAGACGGUUUUGCUGUCACUUAUAGAUGGAUCCGCGCCGCAUUAGCUAGUUGGUAAGGUAACGGCUUACCAAGGCAACGAUGCGUAGCCGACCUGAGAGGGUGAUCGGCCACACUGGAACUGAGACCAGGUCCAGACUCCUAAGGGAGGCAGCAGUAGGGAAUCUUCCGCAAUGGGCGAAAGCUUGACGGAGCAACGCCGCGUGAGUGAUGAAGGUCUUCGGAUCGUAAAACUCUGUUAUUAGGGAAGAACAAAUGUGUAAGUAACUAUGCACGUCUUGACGGUACCUAAUCAGAAAGCCACGGCUAACUACGUG